This 1269-nucleotide long non-coding RNA is filed under the name Marmota monax (woodchuck). Lineage: Eukaryota; Metazoa; Chordata; Mammalia; Rodentia; Sciuridae. The record is from RNAcentral.
GUUUGUACAUGUAAAGAAUUGACCAGUGAAGCCAUCCUAUUUGUUUCUGGGGAACAAUGAUGGGGUGGGAGAGGGGAGAGAAGGAGAGUUUGGAAAAGGAGAAGAAGUCACGGACAUUGCGACAGUACCCACUGCAGACUCAGCCGACCAAGGCCUCCGAUUUUCACAGCUCUGCCUGGAAGAGCAGCCUCCAGGCACCGUGCUGAGGGAAGAUGAGAACCCGGGGCAGUGGAAGUUCAGGGUGAAUGAUGGGCAGAGUCCUGAGGGGCCGUGGCUGCACGGCCCACAGGAUAAGAGCCCAGCCAGAGCAGUGCAAGGCAGACAUGCCGCUCUGCCUAGCAGCAGGAGGAAUGAGGUGCGUGUGUGUGUGUGUGUGUGUGUGUUAACCGUCAUCUUUUGAUCAUCAUGACCAAUGAAACAUUUACUACAAGUCUCCAGUUCUUUAUUUCCUGAAUUUGUUUUUUUGGGUGACUGGUAGAAUGUUCUAGAAAUUUAUCCGCCUCCCAUCUGAUAGCAGGUGUCUCUUAAUUUUGCCAUCCGUGUAUCUGAGGUGCUGGGAGAGGUUGGUUAAAUUAUGCUGGCCUUUGGCAUAAUUGAAAGGUUUGCUUUUCCCUUCUUUUAAACCCUCUCUGUGGGUUGUUCCUUACUGGAUUGAGUGUAAUGAAUUGAUAAGAAAAGAAACCCAAUCUUCCUUUCUAUGGACUGACAUUCUAAUAUGGUCCCCAGGAUUCAAUGUAAGAAAGAAGUUGCCUUAAUCUGUUAGGCUGCUUUAACAAAAUACCUUAGUCUGGGUCCUUUAUAAAGGAAAGAGAUUUAUUGCUCACACUUCUGGAGUCUGGGAGGUCCAAGAUCAUCUGGUCAAAGCUGCUCUCCGCUCAGUCCUCAUAUGGCAAAAGGGUAAAAUGAGGGUGAAGCCCUCAUGAGCUCAUCACCUCCUGAAGGUCCUACCUCUUAAUACUAUUGCAUGGGGGGUAGGUUUCGACAUAGGAAUUUGGGGGAAACCUCAACAGUCAGACCCUGGCAGAAGUCCUUCUCACCCUGGGAGCUUUGGGAUUCUCAGUGAAUCACAAAAUGUGAGCAAGAAAAUAAAGUGUUUGCUAGUGGAAGGCAGAAGGAGCCAUUCAGUACCAGCAGUCAUGUUCUCCAGGACCAGCACCAAGGCUGGAAACAGAAGCCCCUCUCAUUCCUCCCCUGCAAACAGGAGCAGGAGGGCAGUCUGCCUGACCCCGGGCCCAGGGCAUCGCUACACCCUGCCCUGCACACUGUGGA